RNAcentral lists this ribosomal RNA (180 nucleotides) under uncultured Glomeromycotina. RNAcentral's name for it is "partial small subunit ribosomal RNA". The record is from RNAcentral. Lineage: Eukaryota; Fungi; Glomeromycota.
GACUCGGUUGGGCGGUCCGCUUAACGGCGUGUACUGUCUGACUGGGCCUUACCUCUUGGUGAGCCAGUGUGCCCUUUAUUGGUGUGCAUUGGGGAACCAGGACUUUUACCUUGAGAAAAUUAGAGUGUUUAAAGCAGGCUCGCGCUUGAAUACAUUAGCAUGGAAUAAUGAAAUAGGACG